CUUUGUAGAUUCCCCGUUGGGUUCUGGAUUCUCAUACUCAAGAAAAUAUGAAGGGUAUGAUGCCAACGAUACUAUUUGGUCAGAAUAGGCUUCUAAGUUUCUUUUACAGUGGCUUGUUGAGCACCCACAGUUCAUCUCCAAUCCCCUCUACAUUGCUGGGGAUUCAUAUGCUGGAAAAAUUGUACCUAUGGUGGCCAAAAGAAUAUUGGAUGGUAUUGAUGAAGGGAAAGAACCAUUACUUAACCUCCAGGUAAAUUGCUUGAAUUGAUGGGCAUGGGUUACUUGAUUGGCAAUCCAUCCACGGGUGGAAAAAUCGAUACCAAUUCUAAAAUACCUUAUGCUCACAGCAUG
Molecule: long non-coding RNA, 351 nt
Organism: Zingiber officinale
Lineage: Eukaryota; Viridiplantae; Streptophyta; Magnoliopsida; Zingiberales; Zingiberaceae
Exons: 3
Source: RefSeq, a predicted model, not a curated record